This 253-nucleotide ribosomal RNA is filed under the name uncultured bacterium. Its description in RNAcentral is "partial 16S ribosomal RNA". It matches the Rfam family "Bacterial small subunit ribosomal RNA", at positions 524 to 776 of the family's 1533-position model. The record is from RNAcentral.
GACGUAGGGUGCGAGCGUUGUCCGGAUUUAUUGGGCGUAAAGAGCUCGUAGGCGGCCUGUCGCGUCAGCUGUGAAAACCCGCGGCUUAACCGUGGGCUUGCAGCUGAUACGGGCAGGCUAGAGUUCGGUAGGGGAGACUGGAAUUCCUGGUGUAGCGGUGAAAUGCGCAGAUAUCAGGAGGAACACCAAUGGCGAAGGCAGCUCGCUGGAACGGUACUGACGCUGAGGCGCGAAAGCAUGGGGAGCGAACAGG